GAGUCAGAGAGACCUGGGUUCAAUUCCCAGCUCCUCCACUAAAAAAUGGGGUGGCCUCAGACAAGUCGCUUAUUCUCCCCAAGCCUCAGUUUCUACAUCUGUAAAAUGGGAGACUAAAGUAUGUAAGGCACUUCUAUAGGAACUCAGUGAGUGUUUUCUCCUUCCCUCCUUACUGCACGCUUCUCCUCAGGCUCUAUUUGACUUCACUGGAAACAGCAAACUGGAGCUGAAUUUCAAAGCAGGAGAUGUGAUCUUCCUCCUCAGUCGGAUCAACAAAGACUGGCUGGAGGGCACUGUCCGGGGAGCCACAGGCAUCUUCCCUCUCUCCUUCGUGAAGAUCCUCAAAGACUUCCCUGAGGAGGACGACCCCACCAACUGGCUGCGUUGCUACUACUACGAAGACACCAUCAGCACCAUCAAGUUUGUGGCCUGGGAGGGAGGGGCCUGUCCAGCCUUCCUGCCAUCCCUACCACCACCACCCCUCACAUCACCCUCUCAUGGGUCCCUCUCCCACUCCAAAGCCCCCAGUGGCUCCCAGAUGAGCCACAAUGCUGUAACAAACCAUCAACGUCUAGGGUGGCCUGGCCAGCCUCAUUCCCCUUUCCCCCACCCCAUGCCCCACUUCCAGCCUGAUGCCUCCUUACUCCAGCCUGUCGCCCCCUUAGGGACAUCGCGGUGGAGGAAGAUCUUAGCAGCACUCCCCUAUUGAAAGACCUGCUGGAGCUCACUAGGCGGGAGUUCCAGAGGGAGGACAUCACUCUGAAUUACCGGGACGCUGAGGGGGAUCUGGUUCGGCUGCUGUCGGAUGAGGACGUGGCACUCAUGGUGCGGCAGGCUCGCAGCCUCCCCUCCCAGAAGCGCCUCUUCC
Molecule: small RNA, 868 nt
Filed under: Pongo abelii (Sumatran orangutan)
Lineage: Eukaryota; Metazoa; Chordata; Mammalia; Primates; Hominidae
Description: processed transcript
Source: RNAcentral